Carassius carassius (crucian carp) is the source of this 345-nucleotide long non-coding RNA. RefSeq lists it as uncharacterized. The transcript is spliced from 3 exons. The record is from RefSeq and is a predicted model, not a curated record. Lineage: Eukaryota; Metazoa; Chordata; Actinopteri; Cypriniformes; Cyprinidae.
UUAAUCGAAGCCACCUGAAGGACGGCUUUCCUUAGCAACGGCAAGGCCUGCACUCCUCUCAUAUCCUGGCACUUCAACAAGUUUCGUGGCUCAAGCAAGAGGCACCUGUCACUGAAAGACUGCUUUUCUCAGCAACCACAUGAACAGCAUUACUCGAAUUUCCUGAUUCAGCUGAUCUACCCGUCUUUGGACAAGUGGUGUUGGCAGAGGAGGUCAUAGAAAUCUACAUCCUUCCGGACAAUGAUGGGGCAGUCAGCGAUGUAGGAGUUGUGGUUGAGGGCAUCACUGUCCUCAGCAAUCUUGGGAAUCUCAGCAAAGCCUGCUUCUAUCUUUUGGGACUCACGU